This 298-nucleotide non-coding RNA is filed under the name Porphyromonas catoniae ATCC 51270. RNAcentral describes it as "Bacterial large subunit ribosomal RNA". It matches the Rfam family "Bacterial large subunit ribosomal RNA", at positions 1 to 309 of the family's 2925-position model. The record is from Rfam by way of RNAcentral. Lineage: Bacteria; Pseudomonadati; Bacteroidota; Bacteroidia; Bacteroidales; Porphyromonadaceae.
GCAAAAACAGGAAAGGGCAGACGGUGGAUGCCUAGGCUCUCGGAGGCGACGAAGGACGUGAUAAGCUGCGAUAAGCUACGGGGAUUGGCACAUACAAAUUGAUCCGUAGAUUUCCGAAUGGGGCAACCCGGCAUGUUGAAGACAUGUCACACUGCAGAGCAGUGAGCGAACGUGGGGAACUGAAACAUCUAAGUACCCAUAGGAGAAGAAAACAAAAGUGAUUCCCUUAGUAGUGGCGAGCGAACGGGGACUAGCCCAAACCUGCAUUGUUUCGGCAACGCAGGGGUUGUAGGACUCC